GCCUACGGGGGGCAGCAGUAGGGAAUCUUCCACAAUGGGCGAAAGCCUGAUGGAGCAACGCCGCGUGGGUGAAGAAGGUCUUCGGAUCGUAAAACCCUGUUGUUAGAGAAGAAAGUGCGUGAGAGUAACUGUUCACGUUUCGACGGUAUCUAACCAGAAAGCCGCGGCUAACUACGUGCCAGCAGCCGCGGUAAUACGUAGGUGGCAAGCGUUAUCCGGAUUUAUUGGGCGUAAAGGGAACGCAGGCGGUCUUUUAAGUCUGAUGUGAAAGCCUUCGGCUUAACCGGAGUCGUGCAUUGGAAACU
Molecule: ribosomal RNA, 305 nt
Filed under: uncultured bacterium
Lineage: Bacteria
Description: bacterial SSU rRNA
Rfam family: Bacterial small subunit ribosomal RNA
Source: RNAcentral